AGAGUCAAUAAAAUAUGAAUAGUUCUCUUGAAUCAAUAAAUCUAUACAUUCCUUAACAAAAUCAUGUAAAAAUUAAUAAUAGCCUAUUAAUGUAAUUUUAGGCACAGAUGCACUUUAGCACCAUAACUAUGUAACACCUUUGGUCCCGUACAGCCGUAGAAGCACCACAGUCCUGCUGUGAAGUGACUCAUCUGAGGAUUAUGAAACAUUGCAAUGGCACCUUUUUACAUACAAGCCAUUGCAUUACAGAUGAUUUAUUAUUAGUGCAAAAGUAAAAUGAAAACAUGCAUGCAAGAGGAAAGAAGAUGUAUGAAUAGAAGGUGGAAGUACGUUUAUGGCUCUGACUGGUGUCUGGCGUGCAGGGAAACAAAUGGAAUAAAUACAGAUGUAAUGUGACUUAAACUGCUAUAUGAUGAAGUACAAACUGUCUUUCCUUCCUUUUCAUGUCUAUGUGGAAAAGGGACUAAUCCCAGCAUCGUCAACAUUUACUUUUGACACAUGACAUCGUGAUGCUCUCCUAUGUCCAGCCAGUUUGAGAGAAAAUGCCUGCGUGAAAUAUUUGUUUAUAUUAUUGCUUUAAAAUGUUAUGGCUUUUAAGAUUUGUGUAAAUUGUGGACGUAAUGUACAGUUAUAAUUGACACGUGUUGCAAAAAGCAAUCAAGGUAGGCUCCUAAAUGAGGUUUGGUAAAAUCACAAUUUUGUGUUAUUUCUGAGCGAUUUCAUUAUAAUAUUACAAAAACAAAUAAAAUGUGUAAAAUCAGUUU
Scomber scombrus (Atlantic mackerel) is the source of this 764-nucleotide long non-coding RNA. RefSeq lists it as uncharacterized. The record is from RefSeq and is a predicted model, not a curated record. The transcript has 2 exons. NCBI's taxonomy places the organism in Eukaryota, Metazoa, Chordata, Actinopteri, Scombriformes, Scombridae.